UACGUAGGGGGCAAGCGUUGUUCGGAUUUACUGGGCGUAAAGGGCGCGUAGGCGGCACGUAAAGUCGGACCUGAAAUCAUUGGGCUUAACCCGAUGGCUGUGCCCGAUACUUGCGUGCUUAGAGUGCGGGAGAGGCAAUCGGAAUUCUCGGUGUAGCGGUGAAAUGCGUAGAUAUCGAGAGGAACUCCGGUGACGAAUGUGGGUUGCUGGACCUACACUGACGCUGAGUCGCGAAAGCUCGGGGAGCAAACGGG
RNAcentral lists this ribosomal RNA (254 nucleotides) under uncultured bacterium. RNAcentral describes it as "partial 16S ribosomal RNA". It matches the Rfam family "Bacterial small subunit ribosomal RNA", at positions 524 to 776 of the family's 1533-position model. The record is from RNAcentral.